GACGAACGCUGGCGGCGUGCUUAACACAUGCAAGUCGAACGGAAAGGCCCUGCUUUUGUGGGGUGCUCGAGGGGCGAACGGGUGAGUAACACGUGAGUAACCUGCCCUUGACUUAGGGAUAACUUCAGGAAACUGGGGAUAAUACAGGAUAGGAGCUCCUGCUGCAUGGUGGGGGUUGGAAAGUUUCGGCGGGUGGGGAUUGACUCGCGGCUUAUCAGCUUGUUGGUGGGGUAGGGGCUUACCAGGGCUUGGACGGGUAGCCGGCCUGGGAGGGGGACCGGCCACAUUGGGACUGAGAUACGGCCCAGACUCCUACGGGAGGCAGCGGUGGGGAAUAUUGCACAAUGGGCGGGAGCCUGAUGCAGCAACGCCGCGUGCGGGAUGACGGCCUUCGGGUUGUAAACCGCUUUCGCCUGUGACGAAGCGUGAGUGACGGUAAUGGGUAAAGAAGCACCGGCUAACUACGUG
This 468-nucleotide ribosomal RNA is filed under the name uncultured bacterium. RNAcentral's name for it is "partial 16S ribosomal RNA". It matches the Rfam family "Bacterial small subunit ribosomal RNA", at positions 28 to 507 of the family's 1533-position model. The record is from RNAcentral.